Molecule: non-coding RNA, 1397 nt
Organism: Macaca mulatta (Rhesus monkey)
Lineage: Eukaryota; Metazoa; Chordata; Mammalia; Primates; Cercopithecidae
Source: RefSeq, a predicted model, not a curated record
GUGGGCCACCGCGCCCGGCUCGCCCCGCCCCCCGCAAUUUCUAAACUGUAUCUGUCUCCUCCCAAGCCCUUGUUCCUUCAUCCCCUACCCGGUGCAGAUUCAGACAAGCAUUUUAGUUCCUAAGCCUCGCGGUGCUCUCAGCUCCCGCGCCUCUGAGCUGCCCACACCCCUCCCAAUCCCCUCCUCCGCGCCGCCGUCCUUCUGGCUCUUGGAUGGCCGCAGUGCCCGCUCCCUCUGAACUCGCCGGAGCAGGGAUACAGCCGCCCGGGGCCUCUUGCUCGUGCUUGGUUUUCCGUACCCCACUUCCUAAAGGGUCUUUAGGGGUUCCCGGACUCCUUCGCCUGGGAGCCUCCAUCCGCCCCGCACAGCCCCCGGCAGGGCCGAGGGGCGGCUUCAGUGGCGACCUGGUGGGGCCUAGCGGCCCCGCUCCCGGACGUCAGCGCCGGCGCCGUCAUUGAACAGCUUUUGCUUAGGGCAGAAGAACCUAUGGGCACAAAAAGCAGCAUCGCGUAGCGGUGGUGGAAGAACGAGCAGGAGCUUGAAUUUCAGUUUUCUUAUGAGGAAUUUUCCAGAAAAGAUAUCUUCACUGUGAAAUAAGUAAAUAAAUGCCCACUCAGUACAACAGUGCCGAUGUAAUAAUAACAAAAAGUCUCAGCAUCAUUUAAGAUAAAAGGCCAUCAUCAGACAAUGCAGGACAGAUUGUAACAACAGGACAACAGGAAGUACUACAGAGAUUCAGAGAAUGCCAUAAAUAACCUUGGAAUCCUGUGCUUGGGUAAACCAUUUCCUUUUUUUACUUAGCUGAUCCCUUAAAGCCUGUGAAGUUGAAAUGUUACAGAGGGAAUUAUUUUCUAUUUGAGUUAGCCACCUCAAUUUCAUAACUUUGUAAGAAGAAAAUGGCUUACAUUUUUGCAUCUUCAAGGUUUUCAAAACAUUUGCACAUUUAUUAUCUCAUUUCAUCUUUCUAAUCUGAGAUGAAGGUAGAGCAGGUUAUCCCCAUUUUACUGGUGAGGAAACUGAGGCUCAAAGAGUUCAUGUGAUGUGAAGAAUAUUGGAAUUAAGGAUGCCAGAGAACAGUGACUCAGAGGGACCAAAUCAUUAUGGGGUCCAUUUGGAGGUCUCUAUGUAGAGGGGGAGCUUCCUCAAGGACUUCUGCGGAGACCUCCUUAUUGAAGGAGAGGAGGAAGCUUGAAGACACUUUUCCCCACUCGGACUCAGUACUAAGCACUUUUCCACUCCAAGCCCUUCACCUUCUCCUCAUCCCAGGCCCUGGGUCCAUAAAACUGCAGGAGCCUUUUGUUCAGGCAUUCCCUCAGCCAUGCUGUGCUGAUCCACCUGACCCUGGAUUGGUGCCAUUUUAUCACAGCAUGGGAUUAAAGACUUGACCCUUCCUUUCA